RNAcentral lists this ribosomal RNA (301 nucleotides) under uncultured bacterium. RNAcentral's name for it is "partial 16S ribosomal RNA". It matches the Rfam family "Bacterial small subunit ribosomal RNA", at positions 509 to 807 of the family's 1533-position model. The record is from RNAcentral.
CAGCCGCCGCGGUAAUACGUAGGUGGCGAGCGUUGUCCGGAUUUAUUGGGCGUAAAGGGAGUGUAGGCGGUCUUUUAAGUCUGAUGUGAAAGCCCACGGCUCAACCGUGGAGGGUCAUUGGAAACUGGGAGACUUGAGUGCAGAAGAGGAGAGCGGAAUUCCAUGUGUAGCGGUGAAAUGCGUAGAUAUAUGGAGGAACACCAGUGGCGAAGGCGGCUCUCUGGUCUGUAACUGACGCUGAGGCUCGAAAGCGUGGGGAGCAAACAGGAUUAGAUACCCCAGUAGUCCCUGUCUCUUAUAC